RNAcentral lists this ribosomal RNA (492 nucleotides) under uncultured bacterium. Its description in RNAcentral is "partial 16S ribosomal RNA". It matches the Rfam family "Bacterial small subunit ribosomal RNA", at positions 29 to 507 of the family's 1533-position model. The record is from RNAcentral.
AGUGAACGCUGGCGGUAGGCCUAACACAUGCAAGUCGAACGGCAGCACAGUAAGAGCUUGCUCUUACGGGUGGCGAGUGGCGGACGGGUGAGGAAUACAUCGGAAUCUACUUUUUCGUGGGGGAUAACGUAGGGAAACUUACGCUAAUACCGCAUACGACCUACGGGUGAAAGCAGGGGAUCUUCGGACCUUGCGCGAUUGAAUGAGCCGAUGUCGGAUUAGCUAGUUGGCGGGGUAAAGGCCCACCAAGGCGACGGUCCGUAGCUGGUCUGAGAGGAUGAUCAGCCACACUGGAACUGAGACACGGUCCAGACUCCUAAGGGAGGCAGCAGUGGGGAAUAUUGGACAAUGGGGGGAAGCCUGAUCCAGCCAUACCGCGUGGGUGAAGAAGGCCUUCGGGUUGGAAAGCCCUUUUGUUGGGAAAGAAAAGCAGCAGGUUAAUACCCCGCUGUUCUGACGGUACCCAAAGAAUAAGCACCGGCUAACUUCGUG